This 253-nucleotide ribosomal RNA is filed under the name uncultured bacterium. Its description in RNAcentral is "partial 16S ribosomal RNA". It matches the Rfam family "Bacterial small subunit ribosomal RNA", at positions 524 to 776 of the family's 1533-position model. The record is from RNAcentral.
UACGAAGGGAGCUAGCGUUGUUCGGAAUCACUGGGCGUAAAGCGCACGUAGGCGGAUGUGUCAGUCAGGGGUGAAAUCCCGGAGCUCAACUUCGGAACUGCCUCUGAUACAGCACGUCUUGAGUCCGAUAGAGGUGGGUGGAAUUCCUAGUGUAGAGGUGAAAUUCGUAGAUAUUAGGAAGAACACCGGUGGCGAAGGCGGCCCACUGGAUAGGUACUGACGCUGAGGUGCGAAAGCGUGGGGAGCAAACAGG